GCUCCGGUGACCUCAAAGUUAGAGCUUCCGCCUCAGAUGCGGGAGGUCGCGAGUUCGAUCUUCGGUCGAGUCA
Molecule: non-coding RNA, 73 nt
Organism: Potamilus streckersoni
Lineage: Eukaryota; Metazoa; Mollusca; Bivalvia; Unionida; Unionidae
Source: the annotation of a GenBank genome assembly